GUGAGGAAUAUUGGUCAAUGGGCGCAAGCCUGAACCAGCCAUGCCGCGUGCAGGAAGACGGUCCUAUGGAUUGUAAACUGCUUUUAUUUGGGAAUAAACCUCCUUACGUGUAGGGAGCUGAAGGUACCAAAUGAAUAAGCACCGGCUAACUCCGUGCCAGCAGCCGCGGUAAUACGGAGGGUGCAAGCGUUAUCCGGAAUCAUUGGGUUUAAAGGGUCCGCAGGCGGUCAUAUAAGUCAGUGGUGAAAGCCUACAGCUAAACUGUAGAACUGCCAUUGAUACUGUAUGACUUGAAUUCGAUCGAAGUGGGCGGAAUGUGACAUGUAGCGGUGAAAUGCUUAGAUAUGUCACAGAACACCGAUAGCGAAGGUAGCUCACUAGGUCUGGAUUGACGCUCAGGGACGAAAGCGUGGGGAGCAAACAGGAUUAGAUACCCUAGUAGUCC
This 445-nucleotide ribosomal RNA is filed under the name uncultured bacterium. Its description in RNAcentral is "partial 16S ribosomal RNA". It matches the Rfam family "Bacterial small subunit ribosomal RNA", at positions 354 to 796 of the family's 1533-position model. The record is from RNAcentral.